Molecule: small RNA, 65 nt
Filed under: Plasmodium falciparum 3D7
Lineage: Eukaryota; Apicomplexa; Aconoidasida; Haemosporida; Plasmodiidae
Description: Pfa-rasR7014
Source: RNAcentral
CAUCUGCAGCAGCUUUUGCAGCAAUUCCGGAAAUAUAUUGUGACCAUGUCACAUAGUCAAAACCA